RNAcentral lists this ribosomal RNA (253 nucleotides) under uncultured bacterium. RNAcentral describes it as "partial 16S ribosomal RNA". It matches the Rfam family "Bacterial small subunit ribosomal RNA", at positions 524 to 776 of the family's 1533-position model. The record is from RNAcentral.
GACGAAGGUGGCUAGCGUUGUUCGGAAUCACUGGGCUUAAAGGGCACGUAGGCGGUCUGUCAAGCGUCUUGUGAAAUCCCCCGGCUCAACCGGGGAAUGGCUGGGCGAACUGGCAGACUUGAGGCAAUCAGGGGCGUGUGGAACUCUUGGUGGAGCGGUGAAAUGCGUAGAUAUCAAGAGGAACGCCGGAGGCGAAAGCGACACGCUGGGAUUGCUCUGACGCUGAGGUGCGAAAGCCAGGGGAGCAAACGGG